AAAUUGAAGAGUUUGAUCAUGGCUCAGAUUGAACGCUGGCGGCAGGCCUAACACAUGCAAGUCGAGCGGUAGCACAGAGAGCUUGCUCUCGGGUGACGAGCGGCGGACGGGUGAGUAAUGUCUGGGAAACUGCCUGAUGGAGGGGGAUAACUACUGGAAACGGUAGCUAAUACCGCAUAACGUCUG
Molecule: ribosomal RNA, 186 nt
Filed under: Mycobacterium tuberculosis
Lineage: Bacteria; Bacillati; Actinomycetota; Actinomycetes; Mycobacteriales; Mycobacteriaceae
Description: partial 16S ribosomal RNA
Rfam family: Bacterial small subunit ribosomal RNA
Source: RNAcentral